Molecule: ribosomal RNA, 258 nt
Filed under: uncultured soil bacterium
Lineage: Bacteria
Description: partial 16S ribosomal RNA
Rfam family: Bacterial small subunit ribosomal RNA
Source: RNAcentral
AGGACGAACGCUGGCGGCGUGCUUAACACAUGCAAGUCGAGGGCACUAUGCGGGCAACCGCGUGGUGACCGGCGAACGGGUGCGUAACACGUGAGCAACCUGCCCAAGUGUGGGGGAUAGCCGGCCCAACGGCCGGGUAAUACCGCAUACGCUUUUCCGGGGGGAGUCCCUGGGAAAGGAAACUUCAGGGGCACUUGGAGGGGCUCGCGGCCUAUCAGCUAGUUGGCGUGUAACGGCACACCAAGGCAUCGACGGGUA